RNAcentral lists this long non-coding RNA (454 nucleotides) under Callithrix jacchus (white-tufted-ear marmoset). RNAcentral's name for it is "lncRNA (ENSCJAG00000057510.2)". The record is from RNAcentral. Lineage: Eukaryota; Metazoa; Chordata; Mammalia; Primates; Cebidae.
GAACAUCUAUGAAGUGAGAACAUCAUAAUAUAACAUCUUUUUCAGUCAUUGUGAAAAUAUGAGACGAUGAAUAUGAGAGCGCUUUAUAAACUUCUAAGCCAUCUCCCAUGACUGAUCUCCAAGAUUCUCUCAAGCAUGGCCGAUUGUCUGCCUUUGUUCAAGGUCAUCUUGUCCACUCGAGUGGCACUCUCCACUCCUACUCCUGUCCAUGAAGCCAAGUACCUCUUCAUGGGUUGGCACUGAGAGGUAGGCACAGAAACCACUUCAGCUGGCACAUGAAAGAACAUCACUAUGACCCUUGCCUGUUAUUCAGCAGUAUCCUGGAUUUCCCCUUCAGUUCAGACGGGAAGCAGAACCUAGCACUCAGGUAGGCCUCUAUUCUUCCCUCUCUCCCUCACUUAGUGACACUCAGAAGACAAAGAUUGCGACCAUUUUCCUCUGAGGGGGAGCCCAC